AUUGAACGCUGGCGGCGUGCUUAACACAUGCAAGUCGUGCGGUAACAGGCGUAGCAAUACGUGCUGACGAGCGGCGAACGGGUGCGUAAUACAUGGGAAUCUGCCUUUUAGUGGGGAAUAACCCGGCGAAAGCCGGGCUAAUGCCGCAUAAGAUCUUCGGAUGAAAGCGGGGGAUCGUAAGACCUCGCGCUGAUAGAUGAGCCCAUGCCGGAUUAGCAGUUGGUGAGGUAACGGCUCACCAAGGCGACGAUCCGUAGCUGGUCUGAGAGGACGGCCAGCCACACUGGGACUGAGACACGGCCCAGACUCCUACGGGAGGCAGCAGUGGGGAAUAUUGGACAAUGGGGAAACCCUGAUCCAGCGACGCCGCGUGUGUGAAGAAGG
Molecule: ribosomal RNA, 384 nt
Filed under: uncultured bacterium
Lineage: Bacteria
Description: bacterial SSU rRNA
Rfam family: Bacterial small subunit ribosomal RNA
Source: RNAcentral